GACGAACGCUGGCGGCGUGUUCAACACAUGCAAGUCGAACGAUGAAGCCCAGCUUGCUGGGUGGAUUAGUGGCGAACGGGUGAGUAACACGUGGGCAACCUGACUCAAACACUGGGAUAACUCCUCGAAAGAGGUGCAAAUAACGGAUACGAACGAGGUAGCCAUCUGCACUAGUUGGAACGCUUUUCGGCUCCGGAUGGGCCCGCGGCCUAGCAGCUUGUUGGUGAGGUAACGGCUCACCAAGGCAACAACGGGUAACCGGCCUGAGAGGGCGACCGGUCACACUGGGACUGAGAUACGGCCCAGACUCCUACGUGAGGCAGCAUUGGGAAAUAUUGCGCAAUGGGCGAAAUCCUGACGCAGCGACGCCGCGUGAGGGAUGAAGGUCUUCGGAUCGUAAAGCUCUUUCAGUAGGGACGAAGCGAAAGUGACGGUACCUAAAGAAGAAGCACCGGCUAACUACGUUCCAGCAGCCGCCGUAA
RNAcentral lists this ribosomal RNA (482 nucleotides) under uncultured bacterium. RNAcentral's name for it is "partial 16S ribosomal RNA". It matches the Rfam family "Bacterial small subunit ribosomal RNA", at positions 28 to 523 of the family's 1533-position model. The record is from RNAcentral.